UUGGAGGGCAAGUCUGGUGCCAGCAGCCGCGGUAAUUCCAGCUCCAAUAGCGUAUAUUAAAGUUGUUGCAGUUAAAAAGCUCGUAGUUGAAUUUCGGGGUCAGUAGGUUGGUCAUGCCACUGGUAUGUACUGGUCUCACUGAUUCCUCCUUCCUGAUGAACUGUAAUGCCAUUAAUUUGGUGUUGCAGGGAAUCUGGACUGUUACUUUGAAAAAAUUAGAGUGUUUAAAGCAGGCAUUUUUGCUCGAAUACAUUAGCAUGGAAUAAUAGAAUAGGACGGCAUGGUUCUAUUUUGUUGGUUUCUAGGAUCACCGUAAUGAUUAAUAGGGAUAGUUGGGGGCAUUAGUAUUCAAUUGUCAGAGGUGAAAUUCUUGGAUUUAUUGAAGACUAACUACUGCGAAAGCAUUUGCCAAGGAUGUUUUCAUUAAUCAAGAACGAAAGUUAGGGGAUCGAAGACGAUCAGAUACCGUCGUAGUCUUAACCAUAAACUAUGCCGACUAGGAAUCAGACGAUGUUAAUUUUUUAAUGACUCGUUCGGCGCCUUACGGGAAAC
Molecule: ribosomal RNA, 552 nt
Filed under: uncultured Glomeromycotina
Lineage: Eukaryota; Fungi; Glomeromycota
Description: SSU rRNA
Rfam family: Eukaryotic small subunit ribosomal RNA
Source: RNAcentral